AAAAGCGCAACGACACAUUGUAGUCGAAAUACCCCAGCUCGAGGGGGCCCCCCUUUCCCAUGCAUUAGCGCGACAGCGUCAAGUGCAAGUGAAAAGUGAAAAAUUAAAAUGAAGCGAAAUUAUCUCUCCGGCAAUCAAAAAAAGAAGAAGAAAAGGGAAGAGGAGCAGAAAAGAAAACAAGACACCGGUAAGUAGAAUAUACACAAUCAACAUGAAAAUUGUGCCAGGCAGGGUAUACCAUAUUUUGCUAGAGUAGCGAGGUUGUAACGACGACUAGCUAGGAACCAGUGGUUUGGCAUGCUAGCAUGCUAACCAAACUUAAACUGCUACCUUUGACUUCACUAUAAGUUCAUAACGUUAUCAGCUGGCCAAAUUGAUCAACGAUUAAUUCCUCUUAAUAUCCUAAAUAAACUUCACAUAUGUUUUCAGUCGUUAGAGCCUUGAGACAACCAGUGAAAUAGUUAUUCCUGUAGUAGCUAGCUAUUUAAUAGGAGAUUAACAUGGGAGUUUACAAUAAUUUUGCUAGAAUACCAUUGGGUUGAUUUACUUACUUUAUUUACAUUUUAACGGUUAACAUCCCGGCGCAGAUCAGCCACAUGAAGAAAACAGCCACUUUAGUGUCAAUUAAUCCUUUUCUAAACCUAUUCUGCUGUUUGUUGUUGUUGGUCUCCAUGAUAGCUGUAAAUACCACUGGACCACCGUUAAAAACUGUACCGAUAGCUUUGAGCUUUUUCUAUGGGACACAGACAGUACACAGACACACACAGACACACCACGGGUGCGGGGAUGGCGCUGUUGCCACUCACAGAAUUGAUUUCAGGAAAACAGCUCGUCUUAGUGACUGUAUUUCUGUUUUCAAACCAGUGAAAACGGGAUUAUUGUAAGAUUUUAUUAUUAUUAUUUUUUUUACUUUUUUUUGGUGAAGCAGUGCUUCACCUGUAGUCGUAUAGAAACCGCCACUAAACCGCCUAGUAGGAACUGUGUGUAAUGCUUUUAAUAUCUAUUUCACCACAAUUAUCAGACUGUAAAAUGAUAGGAUUUCAAAAGCAUUUGAAAAAUAACCAAGCUAAUCAUACAGUACUUAUUCUUUCUCCAAGGGGCAUUGCUGAAAUUUCUUCAUCCCGCUCUACCAAGUGUUGUCUCUGGUGCUACUGAAGGUAACGUUCUUUUCUACCUAUUAUUAGUGCCUUCUAUCAACACACUUGAUGUUAUCAAAAUGACUUUACAUUUUUCUAAUUCAAGUCAUAGUUGUGUGUAUUCAUUCCACUUGCCCACAGAGUCUUCUGGACAUUUCAAAUAUGUGGGACAUUCACUAAUGUUAAUGAAUAACUGAGUUGUUGAGAUCAAUGCAUGCAAAAUGUGCAAUAUAAAUAAAAAGAAUAUUAUUUAUGUAUUUAUUUAUUUUUGCACCAGGGCCAUCAACAUCGUCUUCGUCACAUGUUUAUGAGGAGGAGCAAGUGGAAGACAACAUUGCGGCGUCCACACCACUUCCCAGCAGUGGUUCAACAGAAGCAGUGCCAUCAACUCCAUCACGACUUGAGGAGGAGCAAGUGGAAGCAUCCACACCACUUCCCAGCAGUGGUUCAACAGAAGUGCCAUCAACUCCAUCUCCACUUCAUGAGGAGGACAAAGAGGAAGAUGACAUUGACAUGGCAGAGACCACCCCACCAUCCAGAACUGGGGUACCUGUAGGUAUUGCAAGCACCACAUUAAGUGAUGACCCAGGAUGUUGGCCCAGUGUCCUAACAAGCAGUAUGCGCUGUGAAAUAGUCAAAAAAGGACCUGUGCAAAUCAUGGACAUUGAAUUCCCGCAAAACUUAGACAAUCCUCCUCGAAGAUUCACCAAGGACAGUUACAAAAGAACCAUGAAAAAUGGUGAGAAUAUACAUCGAUCGUGGCUGGUGUAUUCCAUCCACACAGAUGGAGUGUUCUGUUUCCCUUGUACUGUUUUCGGGAAGCGUGAGCGUGACAAUGCCUUAACGACCUGUGGCUACGGUGGAUGGAAGAACCUUUCCUAUCGCCUAAAAAAACACGAGUGCACAAAGGUGCACUGUGACAAUGUGAAAAAGUGGCACGACCUUCAGAGGAGACUGCAAACCAGUACACUGAUUGAUCAAAGACAGAUGGAGUUGAUGCAACUUGAAGUUGAA
Molecule: long non-coding RNA, 2150 nt
Organism: Eleginops maclovinus (Patagonian blennie)
Lineage: Eukaryota; Metazoa; Chordata; Actinopteri; Perciformes; Eleginopidae
Exons: 3
Source: RefSeq, a predicted model, not a curated record